CCUGGUGCGCCUGGGCGCAAGGCCACCACGUCUCCAAGGCACCGGACGGUUUUGAGGGGCUGGCUCUGGAGCGGGCGGGGAGGUGGAGAGGUCCAAGGGGCCCCCACCUCUCUGCCCCGCUCGGGGUCUUACUGGCUUCACGAGGAAAACAAGGCAGGCUUCUGGCGAAUUCCCACUCGUUUCAGUUCUGGUUCUUGAAUGAGAGAGAAGCAAAGAAAGCUGGCGCCCGUGGACAAGGGACUAAUCGAGGCAUUUGGAGCCCUGGGCUGGGGAAGUUGAGAUGAAUCCAAGCUCAAAGAUCCCAUCUCCCCUUCCUCCCUGAUGCCCAACCACAAGGUGGAGUGACUUGUUUAAGGUCAUGCAGGGUUCAGCUGCCAGUACAGCCCAAGGGCACUUUGGGAGGCCUACCGCCAGUUCUGGGACAGGCCCCCAUCCCAACCUAACAGGUCAACUCUAUUCCCCCUCCCAAAUGCUCUGGGCAUGUGCAGAAGAGCUGAAUGAGGAGCUCUGCUCUGCCCCAGGUCAGGGAAGCAGAGAAAGAUAAGAAGACCACGUGGUCUUACUCUGGAAAAGGGGAAGAUAUUUGAGGGCUGGAGCUGCUUGACUGACUCUUACAAAAUGCUCUGCAUAUCGCAGGCACUUCCUAGAAUAAAUGCUGGUUCCUGAAUUUGGAGCCUGAUAACCGGCGGGGACCUUGGACAAGUCCCUCUGAGCCUCAAGAAGUUACUUUGCAUUUCCUUUGCAUUUUAUAUCAGUCCUGGGUCUUUAGGCAUCUUCCUUCCCUUGAUACAAUGGAAACUCCUUGAGCAGUCACUGUUUGGGGGUUUGGCUUUUUCUCUCUGAUACCUGACCCUAGAAGGGGCUGAAUAAAUGCUUGCUUGACUUAA
Molecule: long non-coding RNA, 887 nt
Organism: Gracilinanus agilis (Agile Gracile Mouse Opossum)
Lineage: Eukaryota; Metazoa; Chordata; Mammalia; Didelphimorphia; Didelphidae
Exons: 4
Source: RefSeq, a predicted model, not a curated record